This 253-nucleotide ribosomal RNA is filed under the name uncultured bacterium. RNAcentral's name for it is "partial 16S ribosomal RNA". It matches the Rfam family "Bacterial small subunit ribosomal RNA", at positions 524 to 776 of the family's 1533-position model. The record is from RNAcentral.
UACGGGGGGGGCAAGCGUUGUUCGGAAUUACUGGGCGUAAAGGGCUCGUAGGCGGCCAACUAAGUCAUACGUGAAAUCCCUCGGCUUAACCGGGGAACUGCGUCUGAUACUGCAUGGCUUGAGAUUGGGAGAGGGAUGCGGAAUUCCAGGUGUAGCGGUGAAAUGCGUAGAUAUCUGGAGGAACACCGGUGGCGAAGGCGGCGUUCUGGACUGCAACUGACACUGAAAAACGAAAGCCAGGGGAGCAAACGGG